CCUACGGGAGGCAGCAGUGGGGAAUAUUGGGCAAUGAGCGCAAGCCUGACCCAGCAACGCCGCGUGAAGGAAGAAGGCUUUCGGGUUGUAAACUUCUUUUCUGAGGGACGAAGAAAGUGACGGUACCUCAGGAAUAAGCCACGGCUAACUACGUGUCAGCAGCCGCGGUAAUACGUAGGUGGGAAGCGGUAUCCGGAUGUAUUGGGUGGAAAGGGCGUGUAGGCGGGAAUGCAAGUCAGAUGUGAAAACUCAGGGCCGAACCCUGGGCCUGCAUUUGAUACUGUUUAUCUUGAGUGCUGGAGAGGCAAUCGGAAUUCCGUGUGUAGCGGUGAAAUGCGUAGAUAUACGGAGGAACACCAGAGGCGAAGGCGGAUUGCUGGACAGUAACUGACGCUGAGGCGCGAAAGCGUGGGGAGCAAACAGGAUUAGAUACCCGGGUAGUC
This 443-nucleotide ribosomal RNA is filed under the name uncultured bacterium. RNAcentral describes it as "partial 16S ribosomal RNA". It matches the Rfam family "Bacterial small subunit ribosomal RNA", at positions 338 to 795 of the family's 1533-position model. The record is from RNAcentral.